GGCGAGUGAAGCGGCAAGAGCUCAAAUUUGAAAUCUGGCCCCUCCGGGGUCCGAGUUGUAAUUUGCAGAGGAUGCUUCGGGUGCGGCCCCUGUCUAAGUGCCCUGGAACGGGCCGUCAGAGAGGGUGAGAAUCCCGUCUUGGGCAGGGUGCCCGUGCCCGUGUGAAGCUCCUUCGACGAGUCGAGUUGUUUGGGAAUGCAGCUCAAAAUGGGUGGUAAAUUUCAUCUAAAGCUAAAUACCGGCCGGAGACCGAUAGCGCACAAGUAGAGUGAUCGAAAGAUGAAAAGCACUUUGAAAAGAGAGUUAAACAGCACGUGAAAUUGUUGAAAGGGAAGCGCUUGCAACCAGACUCGGCCUCGGGGUUCAGCCAGCAUUCGUGCUGGUGUACUUCCCCGGGGCCGGGCCAGCGUCGGUUUGGGCGGCCGGUCAAAGGCCCCAGGAAUGUAUCGUCCUCCGGGACGUCUUAUAGCCUGGGGUGCAAUGCGGCCAGCCUGGACCGAGGAACGCGCUUCGGCACGGACGCUGGCGUAAUGGUCGCAAACGACCCGUCUUGAAACACGGACCAAGGAGUCUAACAUCUACGCGAGUGUUCGGGUGUCAAACCCGUACGCGCAGUGAAAGCGAACGGAGGUGGGAGCCCCCCCGGGGCGCACCAUCGACCGAUCCUGAUGUCUUCGGAUGGAUUUGAGUACGAGCGUAGCUGUGGGGACCCGAAAGAUGGUGAACUAUGCCUGAAUAGGGUGAAGCCAGAGGAAACUCUGGUGGAGGCUCGCAGCGGUUCUGACGUGCAAAUCGAUCGUCAAAUUUGGGUAUAGGGGCGAAAGA
Molecule: ribosomal RNA, 825 nt
Filed under: Aspergillus sydowii
Lineage: Eukaryota; Fungi; Ascomycota; Eurotiomycetes; Eurotiales; Aspergillaceae
Description: partial 28S ribosomal RNA
Rfam family: Eukaryotic large subunit ribosomal RNA
Source: RNAcentral